Molecule: ribosomal RNA, 439 nt
Filed under: uncultured bacterium
Lineage: Bacteria
Description: partial 16S ribosomal RNA
Rfam family: Bacterial small subunit ribosomal RNA
Source: RNAcentral
CUACGGGGUGCAGCAGUGGGAAAUAUUGCACAAUGGGGGAAACCCUGAUGCAGCAACGCCGCGUGGAGGAUGACGCAUUUCGGUGUGUAAACUCCUUUUAUAUAGGAAGAUAAUGACGGUACUAUAUGAAUAAGCACCGGCUAACUCCGUGCCAGCAGCCGCGGUAAUACGGAGGGUGCAAGCGUUACUCGGAAUCACUGGGCGUAAAGCGCGCGCAGGCGGCCUUUUAAGUUGGAUGUGAAAGCCUAUGGCUUAACCAUAGAACUGCAUCCAAAACUAUCAGGCUAGAGUCUGGGAGGGGAAGAUGGAAUUAGUUGUGUAGGGGUAAAAUCCGUAGAGAUAACUAGGAAUACCAAAAGCGAAGGCGAUCUUCUGGAACAGUACUGACGCUGAGGCGCGAAAGCGUGGGGAGCAAACAGGAUUAGAUACCCUUGUAGUC